RNAcentral lists this long non-coding RNA (307 nucleotides) under Elaeis guineensis (African oil palm). RNAcentral's name for it is "long non-coding RNA (EGUI_LNC052074)". Lineage: Eukaryota; Viridiplantae; Streptophyta; Magnoliopsida; Arecales; Arecaceae. The record is from RNAcentral.
GAGCUUCACAAAUCUUUCAUUGUAUCUUUGGGGACAUACAUUACUUUCUACAAUUUAUCUUUUAAAUAAGGUUCUCUCUAAAUCCAUUCCUUCUAUAUCAUAAUAGAUAUGUGGUGCAGACACCAGAGCCAUCAAAAAUUAACAACAUGAUUUAAAUUUGAUUUGGAUCGAAGAAGCCUCAUUAGAUUGAUUCUAUUUUAGUUAUUUAUUUUCAGUCAAUAAAUUUUUAAUGCAUUUAGCUUUGGGUCCAUAGGGCCAUACUUGAAUUUGUCCACGUCACCUUUGGAGCCACCACUCUCCACAUACC